This 406-nucleotide ribosomal RNA is filed under the name uncultured bacterium. Its description in RNAcentral is "partial 16S ribosomal RNA". It matches the Rfam family "Bacterial small subunit ribosomal RNA", at positions 30 to 526 of the family's 1533-position model. The record is from RNAcentral.
AUUGAACGCUGGCGGCAGGCCUAACACAUGCAAGUCGAACGAGUGGCGGACGGGUGUGUAAUGUCUGGGAAACUGCCUGAUGGAGGGGGAUAACUAUUGGAAACGGUAGUUAAUACCGCAUUCCAACGGAUGUGCCCAGAUGGGAUUAGCUAGUAGGUGGGGUAAAGGCUCACCUAGGCGACGAUCCCUAGCUGGGCUGAGAGGAUGACCAGCCACACGGGAACGGAGACACGGUCCAGACGCCGACGGGAGGCAGCAGUGGGGAAUAUUGCACAAUGGGCGCAAGCCUGAUGCAGCCAUGCCGCGUGUAUGAAGAAGGCCUUCGGGUUGUAAAGUACUUUCAGCGGGGAGGCGUUACCCGCAGAAGAAGCACCGGCUAACUCCGUGCCAGCAGCCGCGGUAAUUC